GUUCCUAGCAGGUAAUACAUGAUAUAGAUGUGAACUCAAAAACAAAUGUUUUGGAAAAUAGGCAGAUGCAUUGGAUGGUCUUCAGAUUCAGCCAGAAUAGUUUUCCCAUUCAGACAGGAUUAAGAAGUGGGUAUUGCUGGGAGCAGACCUACUUGAGGAUGAAUGAGGCUCUGGGCCUUAGAAAGUUCUACUAUUUCUUGCCAGGUCCCAACUUGGCUGCUUUGUAAGAAGUGGACUUCUGCCUCCUCAGCCUAACCUGAAGAAUAGAACCAGCUUCUUUCGUGGCAAUUUUCCCCCAGGAGGGAUUUCCCUGCAGUGGACCUCCUCCCCAGUGGUACCUUCAGCCAUCAGAACACCUCGCUUUAGAUCUGUGGGUCCCAAAUUUCAUCAAAUCCAAUGACCAUUUCUAUGAUCACUCAUUCUGGGGGCAGCCCUCUGGCAUGUAAUGAGCAGUCCUAUGGAGAGGCCCAUGUGACAGUAGCCAUGCGAGUGACACUGGAAGUGAAACCUGCAGCUCCAGUCAAGCCUUUAGAAGACUGCAGCCCUGGCUGACAGCUUGACAGCAAACUCAUGAGAGACUCUCAGCUUGAACAACUCAGCUAAACUGUUCCUGGGUUCCUGGUCCUCAAAAACUGUACGAGAUGAAAAAAAAGUUUGUUUUUUUAAGCUGCCAAGUUUUGGGAUAAUUUGUUAUUCUAAUAUAUUUUUUAAUACCUGGAAGUAAGGUGCUACCAUAAUAAAUACCUAAAAUGUAGGCACAGCUAGGAAACUAGACAGUGGAGGUAGCUGGAAAGAAUUUAAGAAGCAUAGCAGUGAAAGUCUCAGGAGCCUUGAACAAAACAUUAGAAAAACUUUGGACUUUGACCAGGCUGCUGGUGGAGGUUUAAAAGAAAGUGAGAAAAAUCUUGUUGAAAACAGAACAGGGAAUCCUUACUAUGGAGUGGCAUAAAUCUUAGCAAUAUUGUUGUCUGCAAUAAUGUGGGUGGUGGGAAUGUACCUGGUAAACUGGGUGAUCUAAUUUGCUAUUCAUAAAGACAUAAAGAUUCUCAGCUUUUACAGAUGGUGAAAAAUGCUAAAUUAAGAAAUGGCUGAAGGACAGAGGUCAAAUCCUGGGCACCAUCAUGAAAACAUAAUCCAAAGAUGAAGCUGAGAUGUGACUAUAAAUCCUUUGUUAUGACCUCAGAAAGAUCAAAAGUGGUGCCUCAGAGUACCAGUUUGGUCACACAAAGGCCCUCUAAAGUUUUUAAGGCUGUGACUCACAGAUUCUUUCAAAAACAGGGCUCCUGAGAAGCUUAAGAGCAUAGUUUUUCAGCAGAAUCACAAGGUGGGAAAGGGAUUAUCUCAAAAAGAUUUUUGGGCGUGACUUUUGUCUAAUGGAAUGGACCCCCAAAAAUUCAUAGGUGAUUCACAAAUUUUUUAAAAGAAUUAUAUUAGUAGAAACAUUGCCAACUAGAACUCAAAGGGAUAGAGACAGUAUGAAAUGAAAAAAGGCCUUGGUACUCACUUUGCCCCUGUUUCACUGCAGGUUAAGAAAAAAUUUCAGCUGCAUACAUGUACUAACUUUCAUGAAAAAGAAAGAAUAGCUAAGCAUGGUGACUCACUCCUGUAACCCCAGCACUUUGGGAGGACAAGGUGGGAAGACCACUUGAGCCCAGGAGUUUGAAUCAGCCUGGGCAACAUAGCAAGACUCUGUCUCUUUUUAAAAAAGGAUGACUCUGAAGGGGAAGCUAAAAGCCUCAGAGAAUAACUCAUGCGUAGAAAUAGGACUAAAUCCUAAGGCGAUUCCAACAUUUGCCUGGCUGGAUUUCAGAGCUGCUAUGGGGACAUAGUAGUGUGUCCAGUACCUUUCCUUUUUGAAUAUUAAUGCAUAUAGUGUUUAUUCCUGUUCCACCAUUGUGUGUUUGGGGUGUGUGUGUGUGUGUGUGUGUGUCUAUGUGUGUGCGUGUUAGUUUCAGAUUGAGAGGAAUUAUACCCAAGGAGCUAGAGUUAAGAAAUUAUACCUAAGGAACCUCUUGUGUACCUGGUCCUGAUUUAAAUGACAAGACUCUAGACUUUGAGUUGAUGCUGUAAUGAGACAAGAAUUUUAGAAAUGUUGAGAUGGAGUGGACGUGUUUUGCAUGUUGGAGGGACUUGAUUCACUGGAGCCUAGAAGGCAGACUAUGGUAGCCAGCCCUCAAGAUUGUCUCCUCCUGGUAUUCAUACCCUUGUAUAAUUCCCCUCCCACAUUGUACCAGAAUUUAUCUGUGUGACAGAAUAUGGCAGAAGUAAUGAUAUGUCACUUCUGAGAUUAGGUUAUAAAAGACAUUGUGGCUACCAUCUCUCAUCACUCACUCAAAGGGAAGCCAACCACCAUGCAAUGAGAAUCUCAGGUAAUGAGGACCUGAGACCUGUUGUCAAUCACGUGAAUAAGCUUGGGAGGAGAUUCUCCAGCCCCAGUCAAGCCUCAGAAGACUUCAGCCCUAGGUGACAGCUUGAUGAUAAUCUCGGGAGGCAGAACCACCCAACUAAGCCACUCCUGGAUUCCUGACCCUGACCCUGACCCUAGAAACAGUGUGAGCUGGAAUUCUGUGAAGCACAUGACCUCAAGUCUUUGGAUAAAUGGAAACGCAGCUUAUGCCGGAAAGAUGGAAGGCUGGCUGUACUAAUAUCAGAAAUGGAAGAGGAGAGACAUCACUAGAGAUCCCAUGGAUAUUGAAAGGAUAAUAAAGGAGUAUUAUGAGCAUUGUUAUAUUUUAUGUCUCCUAUAAGCUGUAAAUUCCUACAUAGCAAGAAUUCUGUCUUACUCAUCCUUUAACAACUACUGUGUACCUUAUAAUGUUUCAUAAAAUAUUAUGAUUUGGUUUUAUUAUUCACAAAAGAAUGCUAUAAGAGGUGAAAAAUGGAGAGGCUAGAAAGCAUAAAAACAAGUUACAUCAGGUGGUAGAGCCUGGUUUAAGGGUCAAAGAUAAAAGAAGGGAAGGUUAAGGGCAGGGCUUUAGAGGGAGAGAGGAUAAACACAGUUUGAUUAAAUGGCUGAUUCAGCCGGGUGUGGCGGCUCAUGCGUAUAAUCCCAACACUUUGAAAGGCUGAGGCAGGAGGAUUGCUUGAGCCUAGGAGUUCAAGACCAGCCUGGGCAACAUGGAGAAAUCCUAUCUCUACCAAAAUACAAAUACAAAAACAAAAAUUAGCCAGGUGUGGUUAUAUACACCUGUAGUCCCAGCUGCUUGGGAGGCAGAGGUGGGAGGAUUGGUUAGGUCUAGGAAGUUGAGGCUGCAGUGACCUAUGAUUGCUCCACUGCACUCUAGCCUUGGUGACACAGAGAGAUCCUGUCUCAAAACAAAAACAAACAACAACAACAAAAAACAUAUAUAUAUAUAUAUGAGGUUUAUCCACAGUAAAGUUCAGUCUAGGGUUAAUAAAAGAUUCUAGGGUUCACUAAGACAAAGAGUAGUCGCAGUAGCAGAGCCUUGGGUGAAGCUAAGGUCCCCAGGAGAUCUGGGAUGUCUGUGAGGAACAGUGAGGCUUAGUCAUUCAGACAAGCCAGCAGAAGUGAAGUUUAGAGAAUGUGGAUGGGCCUCAGGCUCUAGACAUCAAAACAAACAGAUAGAAAAGGCAGAGUGUAGAAUCCAGACAGUGAGGCUCACAACAAGGUAUGCAAUUCUGCAUAAGCAGAUUUGAGGGGACACCAACUAUGGACUGAUGUAGAUAAAUAUUUCUGGUAAUUCCAGUUAGUGAUUCACUCUGAACUCACAUAGGAUAGUAUCUCUUCAAAGGCACUUGUGUUGUAAUUAAAUGCACACAUAAGACAUAAUGCUUAUUGAGCCCUUAGCAUGUACCACCCACUCUUAUGCAUACUAUAUGUUUAAACCAUUUAAACUCACACCAACCCCCUGGGGGUAGGUAGUAUUAUUAUCCCUGUUACAGAUAAGGAAAGUGAGAAGUAGGAGUUAAUUGGUCUCAUGAUCCCCUACAGGCUGGCCUUCCAGAAAAAGGAGGUAACUUGCCCCAGGAUACCCUGGAAACCAAUCAGAAUGAAUUGCCUUAAACUCUGGCUUGUAGCCCAAAGCAAGGCUUGCCCACAAGUCUUGCCAGUAUGUGGUUGAACAGAAAUUAGAAUCCAGACAGCCUGAGUCCUUUUCUUGCCAGGCAGGGGCUGGGGCUUCCCCAACCAUGAAAGUUCAGGUGGUAGAUCCUGCCACUGCUUUGCACACCAGCUCCCUGGUGCUAACCUCAACUGCCAGUGCUGAGCUGGAAGGAUAGGGCUGGAGGCAAACUCCUACCCCAUCAUGUUGCUGGUGUAUUCCAUCCUGGUAUUGGUCACACCAAGGAAGGGCCUGGACUUUCCUAAUCAUGCAGCUUAAAAGCAACACAAGGCAAGGCGGGGAGUCCGCUCUCCUGAAGUCUGACAUCCAGGAAGACCAGAUUGCUAUGUGCUGUCUUUGACUUACUUGGAGACUCACACACCUACACUAGUGCCCCCUUAUCUGAGGGGGAUGCAUUCCAAGACCCCCAGUGGAUGCUUGAAACCAUAAAUAAUACCAAACCCUACAUAUACUAUGUUUUUUCAUAUAUAUACCUAUGAUAAAAUUUAAUUUAUAUAAUAGAUUAGGCAGAGACUAAUAACAAUAACUAAUAAUAAAAUAGAAGAAUUAUAACAACAUACUAUAAUAAAAGUUAACGUGAACAUUGUUUGUCUCAAAAUAUCUUAUUGUAUGUAAUAUUUUUGGACUGUGGUUGUUCAUAGCAAGUGAAAACUCAGAUGGGGGAGGGUGGCAUACUGUAUUUAUUUUCCUGUAUCCAUUAGUGUUUCCCAGUGAACACUGCACCAGGAGGUUGGCCAUUUGUCUUUAUUUAUACAUCAAACUAAGGCAUGGAGAAUAAGAGCUUGGUAAGGUCAUAUAGCCAGGAGGUGGUUGAACUGAGAUUCAAACUGAGACAGUCUGAGUCCAAAUUCUACCACCUCUUGUGUGUGACAUUUAAUGGAUAGGUGGGCUUUUGUAACCAGUGUCUCUGCCUUUCUCCAUGAUUCACAGCACAGAAACUUGUGCAUACAUUCUCACUUGAUAUCUGAAUGACUGUAACAGUGAUGUAAAUUAACAAGGAAGGGAGAUAGCCCUGAUUUAAUUGGAAAUCACUGACAGAGCUCGCCCAGUAAACUCUCUACAAACAGAAUACAAAUGUUUUGUAUUUAAUUGCUAAAGUGUUUUAAAAUUGAACUCAAAUUAAUAAAUACUUAUUGUAUCUGUCAGUUAAACGAAACAACCAAUAAACAACCAACUCUGUUUUCUAAUCAAGAGGGACUGAUCCUUUAAAAAAAAUAGGGUUUAAAAAAGAUGAUAUGAUCAAUGUAAAAUUGGAUUAUAGACUUUUAGAGUCUUAAAAGAUGAGAAAAGAGAUAAAGAUGAAUAGAUAUGGAGUAACUAGGAUAAGACUCUCUCACAAACUGGACCUUAAACAGAUUUAGGAAGAAAUAUAGGAUUAGGAUAGAGAAAAAGAAGAGAAAGAAUUGCCUAUAGGCAUAAUAAAAAGCACAAGUGUAUCAAUCAACACAGGGUAUUGUGGACCAGUGAGGAAGGAUCAUGAUCUAGACUAGGGGAUUCAUGUUGGAAACAGUGAGACAAGUUAGAAAGGAUAGGAUGGGACAUAUUAUAUGGUUCCAAACAUAAUAAAUGAGCACUUGAGCUAGAAAGUAGUAUAAUGUUCACAGGUGGUAAAGAGGUAUAAUGAAAAAACUAUACUUCACAAAAAUUAGUGGUGUUCAGUGGGUUGGAGAGAAGACCAAUUAGAAGGUUAUCUGUGGAAUUACAACAACCCAGUGAAUUGAGCUGAUGGAGAGAGAUGCUCCUCCCACUACCAACACUCAAACAUAAGGCAAAAAUAUUUAUAGGUGAUGAGUAAUGAUGAAAAAACAAAAGAACAAAUGAUAGAUGACAUGAAGAAUGGGAGUAGGGAAGACCAUAUUUAAGACUCUGAGGUCAUUAAAUGAUGUAACAUGUUUACUAGCCCAAAAAUAUAUACUAAAAGAGUAGAAAGAAAACAAAAAAUUUCCAAAUCAGUAGCAAGGAUCAAGAAAACAAUCCAAAUGGAAGGAAAGAACAAUGUCCCUUGGAACAUAACAAUAGAACAUAAUAUGAACAGUACCUCCUUCUAUGUAGUGUAGAUAUUAAACAUAGGGUGGGAAGUACACAUAUCAAUUUCAAAAUAGUGGUUUAAUCUGAAAUUGUUAAACAGAGAGGGAGGGAAGCAAUAGAACUGAGAGAGCGUUCAAAAGCCUUUUGUUGUAUCUGUAGAGUCUUUUAUUUCUUAAAAAUACAAUCGUAUACCACAUGAUAACAUUUUGGCCAAUGGACUACACAUAUGACAUGGUCCCAUAAGAUUAUAGUACUGUCUUUUUACUGUACCUUUUCUAUGUUUAGAUAUAUUUACAUAUACAAAUACCACUGUUAAAUUGCCUACAGUAUUCAGCACAGUAACAUGCUGUGCAGGAUUGUAGCCUAGGAGCAAUGGGCUACACCAUGUGGCCUAGGUGUGUCGUAGGCUCUACUAUUUUGGUUUGUAUAAGUACACUCUAUGAUGUUCACACAAUGAUGAAAUCACCUAACGAUGCAUUUCUCAGAAUAAGUUUCUGUUGUUAAGCAACCCAUGAUUGUAUCUGAAGCAAAUAUCUAUA
Molecule: long non-coding RNA, 6649 nt
Filed under: Homo sapiens (human)
Lineage: Eukaryota; Metazoa; Chordata; Mammalia; Primates; Hominidae
Description: HSALNT0087844
Source: RNAcentral